Molecule: non-coding RNA, 58 nt
Filed under: unclassified sequences
Description: chromate-resist RNA
Rfam family: chrB-b RNA
Source: RNAcentral
UGGGGACUUCGCAGAUUCCCCGCCGCCAGUAAGACGCCUUCCUCGCGUCCAAAUCUGC